UCAAAAUUGUCUUGUUUGCCUCCUCCGGGCCUCCCAUGUAUACAAUAUAACCCCAAUUAACUCUAUAUAUACAAUAUAACCCUAGACGACGUUUCUUUCCUUAACGAUUUGUUUAGAAGCCUUUCAUCAUCAUUCUUUCACCAAGUCAGUCGGAUCCCAUGGAUUUUUAAAACAGAUAUCAUUUAAGCCCUGGUAUGAAUUCUCCUCGCCCCUGGGUUCCGACUUUACAUAAUAUGUUACGCAAAUUGCAUCCUGAGUCAUCAUCAGCACCUUUUCAAGAAAGGUAUAGGAACGACCCAAUAUAUUGUACACCCGAGGGACUAAGAAUUAAAGCUUUGAAUAAUCAGUUUUCAGAUCGAUCUGCAUUUGAACAGUUAAUUAGCCUGAGUAAUUUUGGGGAGAAUCAUUAUCAUAUGCUUUUGUGUUAAGAUUCUUAAUUCAACCUGCUCUUUUUAUUUAUUUGGACUAAUCUCACAUGAAAUAUAUUACAUGAUGAUCAAAUUGCAUAUGUGGGACUCCCACUUGACCCGGGACAUAGCUUGAUGUGCAUUUACGGUCACAUUAAUAUUAAUAUUUCAGGUGAUUAUUU
Long non-coding RNA from Erigeron canadensis, 589 nucleotides. RefSeq lists it as uncharacterized. The transcript is spliced from 3 exons. The record is from RefSeq and is a predicted model, not a curated record. NCBI's taxonomy places the organism in Eukaryota, Viridiplantae, Streptophyta, Magnoliopsida, Asterales, Asteraceae.